AUUUGGUAGUGUAUAUAUGUCCAUGCCACUCUCUCACUUUGUCCCAGUUUACCCUUCCCCCUCCCCGUGUCCUGAAGUCCAUUCUCUACUCCUGGCCUCUUUUAUAAAAGUACUAAUCCCAUGUGAGCGUUCUGCUCUCAUGGCCUAAUCACUUCCCCAAAGCCCCAUCUCUAAAUACCCUCACAUGGAGGGUUAGGUUUCAAGAUACGAAUGUGGGGAGGAUAUAAACAUUCAGUUUAUAGCAUGCUGCAAUAUUUUUUUGUUUUCCUGGAGCUUUUCAUUUGAUAUCAAUAGUUUUUCUUAUCACGCUCACAAAUUCGUUCCUAAGCCACCCAGUGAAGCUGUUAAUGUCUUCUCAGUAUGUUCAAACACCUGGGGUAAUUUCUUCCUCCUACUCUUUCUGAGGCAUUUGUGCUAGAGCCUUUGGUCCUCUUCUCCAAGGUAGACUGGUUGCUCUUUUUUUUUUUUUCUUUUUUUGGCCGUGCUGCACGGCUUGUGGGAUCUUAGUUCCCCAACUAGGGAUCAAACCCGGGCCUUCGGCAGUGAAAGCACGGAGUCCUAACCACUGGACCGCCAGGGAAUUCCUUAGACUGGUUGCUCUGUAUGCCUGCUGCACAGCUAUUGUUCCAAGUUCUCCCCCAUCAUUCUGGGAAUUCUGUUCACUUAUUUGUGCAUUGAAUCACUGGUUUUCUGGAUCCAAUGCUCCAGUUUUUGCUCUAUUCUCUUGUUUUGGUGAAGUACAUCAUUCAGAAGUCUCCUGAGACGGGGUGUAUAGUGGGAUGAAUGGUGGCCCCCCAAAGCUUAUGUCUCCAUCCUAAGCCUCAGAAUCUGUGACUAUUUCCUAAUUUGGAAAAAGGGUCUUUGCAGAUGUAAUUAAGUUACAGAUCUCAAGAUGAGAUUAUCCUCGAUUAUCUAGGUUGUUCCUAAAUCCAAUGAGAAGUGUUCUUCUGAAAGACAGAAGAGGAGGAGAUGCAGAAACAGAGAAGAGGGCCUUGUGAAGAUGGAGGAAGAGAUUGGAGUGAUGCAGUCGCAGAGAAUGACUGGGGCUGCCAGAAGCUGGAAGAGACAAGGAAGCAUUCAGCUUUAGAGCCUCCAGAGGGAGUAUAGCCCUGCUGAUACCUCACUUUCACACUUCUGGCUUCCAGAACUGCAAGAGAAUACAUUUGUGUUUUUUAAGCCACCAGGUUUGUGGUAACUUGUUACGGCAGCCUUGGGAAACUUAACACAGGGCACAUAGGCAUAAACAACAUUUUUGAAAACUGUUAAUUAUGCAUGCAUUCUUGAUUUAUUGUUUGGCUGGGUAUGGAAUUCUAGUUGCAAAAUAAUGAUUUUUUAUAUUUAUCUUUCCUGAUACAUUUAUAAGUUAGCAUUCUUCUCUAAUUAAGAGCUUUCUCUGUCCCCUCUUUGUGUAUUUUCUGUUUUACUAUCAGACUAUUCAAUGUGUAUCAUCAGUUCCUAUCAUUAUUCAAUAUGAUGCUCACAUUGCCCCCAAUUUUAACCAGUGAGAACCCCUUCAAGUUGGCUUUUGUGUCUUUUUGAUAUGUUCCCAUAAGUCAUUUAGCUCAAAGCCCAUCAUGUAUUUUCUCUCUGUCCCACCUCUGGAACCAGCCAUUUCUCUAAGAACUGGACCAUUUACUGGGGAAUAGUAUUUGGAAACUAAGAUCUGAGUCUUAUCAUGACAUUCUCCUUUCUUACCUUUCAUAUAUGACUUAUUUUUUUAAUCUCUCUGGAAUCUUUUAGGAAUUUCUCCCUGGCCCCAUCCAGUGUUCUGAAAUUUCAUGUUAAUGUGCCUUGGGUUUGUUUUUCCAUUUCUUGUAGCUUUUUCAAUCUAAAGACUCAGCCUUCAGUUCUAGAAAAUGGUCUUCAGUUAUUUCUUCGUGAUUUUCUCCCCUCCAUUUUGCCUAUUUUUCUUUCUAGAACUCCUAUUAUUUGGAUGUUGGGUUUUCCAGAUAAAUCUUUUUCCUCUUCUGGCCACGUCUUCAAAUAUAAUACAUUAUUAUAUACUGAUUGCAUAUAACAAGGCUCAAGACAGUAACCGGAGAGAAGACUGUUAGUGGAGGUUGGAAAAGCGGUAAGGAAAUUGCUACAGAAGGCUGGAGAAAAGGCAACCCAGGUUAUGUAUUGGCAGAAUGUUUAACAUUACUGUUGCCUAUGGUAACAUGAGUGAUAAGAAAAUGUGCCUAAUGAACUUGUGGAUCUAGUCAAGGAGAUUUCCAGGCAGAAUGCUGAAGAUGCCAGUGGUCUUUUUUAACCACUUAUGAUAAAGUACAACAAGAAAAAAAAUGCACUAAAUAUCUGUUUGGUUUUCAAGCAGAAUUCUAGCCAAUGAAAGGUUUGCAAAGUAAGAAAUGGCCUCAGAAUAAAGAUCAAAUCACAUGUGGCUGCAAAACUUUUUUUUAUUUUUAAAAUUCCAGAAAGAUUUAAUGUGGUACUUUGAAGACCAUCUCAGGGCUUCUAAGACUCUUAAGUGCAUUGUUCCCGCCUGACAAGCUCAAAGUAAAGAGAGAGAUCUAUUAUUAGAAAGAAUAAUCAAUGUGACUUUUGGAGCAUGGAGUUAAGCCUCAUUAAGAUUUACAGAAAUUCCACAAUGUUUUUGAGAAAAUUGCAUUGCAUAUGAAUUUUGGAGCAUGGAAUGAAUCUCAGUAAGAUUUAUAGAAAAUCCACAGAAUUUUAAAGAUAAUUGUGUUAAUGAAAGGACUGCCAGGUUGGACACAGAAACAGUUGAAAAGAAGUCUCUGGGCCUUCAAGUUUCUACUAGCAUGAAGCAGGUUGAGAGAGCUACUCAACUACAAAUAUGGACCAUUCUUAAGGGAAAGGAAAGACAUCUCAGAGAGUGGAAUCAAGAGGCCAGAAGGCAAAGCCAAAAACCGAUCAGAUGAUGGAUUAAAGCAAAGACUGGCAAACUACAGCCCAUAAAGUCAACCCAGCCUAUUUUUGGAUAGCCCACAAGCUAAGAGGCCUGGCAGCUUCAGCUUUUGCUUCUUGAGAGCCAGCUUCCGUUAUUAUCCUGGUGUAGAGAGGAGGACCUGGCAGAUGAGAGUCCAAGGGACGGAGAGAACCAGCCUGCUCUCAGCCAUCCUAGCAACCCUAGCUGAGGCACCAAAUGAGUGAAGUUCCUUUCCAUCCUACAACCCUAGUUGAGCUGCCCCAUCUAACACCAUGGAGAAGAGACAAGCUGUUGCCCCUGAGUCCUGUCCAUAUUGCAAAAUCAUGAGCAAAUAAAUGGUUUUAUUUAUGUUUGAA
This is a long non-coding RNA of Aethalodelphis obliquidens (Pacific white-sided dolphin), 3243 nucleotides long. RefSeq lists it as uncharacterized. Lineage: Eukaryota; Metazoa; Chordata; Mammalia; Artiodactyla; Delphinidae. The transcript is spliced from 2 exons. The record is from RefSeq and is a predicted model, not a curated record.